AAUGCACCAAUUUGUAAGUCGCUCUGGAUAGGAGUGUCUGCUAAAUGACGUAAA
Molecule: non-coding RNA, 54 nt
Organism: Salmo salar (Atlantic salmon)
Lineage: Eukaryota; Metazoa; Chordata; Actinopteri; Salmoniformes; Salmonidae
Source: Rfam